This 301-nucleotide ribosomal RNA is filed under the name uncultured bacterium. RNAcentral's name for it is "partial 16S ribosomal RNA". It matches the Rfam family "Bacterial small subunit ribosomal RNA", at positions 509 to 809 of the family's 1533-position model. The record is from RNAcentral.
CAGCAGCCGCGGUAAUACGUAGGUCCCGAGCGUUGUCCGGAUUUAUUGGGCGUAAAGCGAGCGCAGGCGGUUGAUAAGUCUGAAGUUAAAGGCUGUGGCUUAACCAUAGUACGCUUUGGAAACUGUUUAACUUGAGUGCAAGAGGGGAGAGUGGAAUUCCAUGUGUAGCGGUAAAAUGCGUAGAUAUAUGGAGGAACACCGGUGGCGAAAGCGGCUCUCUGGCUUGUAACUGACGCUGAGGCUCGAAAGCGUGGGGCGCAAACAGGAUUAGAUACCCGGGUAGUCCCUGUCUCUUAUACAC